CUCUCAUAUAUGAACAAGAUUGUGAUCCUUUUUGUGUUCCUAUACAAUGUGUUUUUCUUACCUAAGCUAUGGUAAAAAUGUGAAUAUUUCUAGUACAUAAAACCUAGAAUCAAGACAAUUAGACAAUAGCAUACAUAAGCAGACAAAAUACAAAUGUACAACUGUCUUGGGACAUUUGGUUAGGGAGGAUCAAUAAUGCACAUGAUUCCAGGUGAAUAUGUUUCUACAUGAUCCCAAGUUGGUGUAGUUAUAUGAGGUGUCCAGCCGCCAUAGAGUACAUAUUUCUUUAUCUUUGCUCGGGUCUGAUAAGGAUGAUAAAGACCCUAGAUUAUAGAAAGGUAUGAUCACUACAUGAGAAGACUGAACAACAGCUUCAGAAAUGUAAUAGCUUGGUUUUCAAGAAGCUUCUAUUAAGGAAUGAACAAAAUUAUUUAUUUAAAUAGUCUUUUAUAAUUUCCAUUUUGGUGUUGUUAAUUUGAUCUUUGUAUGAGAGUUAUGAUUGGAAGCAAAAUCAGAUUUUUAAACCUUAUGCAUUAAAAUUACAAAAUUGCCCUAAAAAAAAAAGGGGGAGAAGAACAAAAAAACCCAUUUCCUGUUUUUUCAUUUCUCUCGUGGCUUUUCUAAGUUUCUAGAGAAAUCUUUAUUCUCUAAUGUUUUUCUAAAUUCUCCUAAACUAGAUUACCUACAAGAUUAAGAGCAAUUGAAACCCCCAAAAACCUAUUUUCCUUCUCUCUUAUUUCUUCUUCUCCGUUUUUCGUCAAUCUGUUUCUGCAAUUUUCUCUAACAUGCAAUCCAAAUUUGCUCCUUGUUUCUUCAUCAAAGUUGUAGAUCUCUUUGAGUUAUUGAAUUUAGGCACAAAAAUCGUCCAAUUCAAAGUUCGGAGCUAUGAGUUAUGCUCUUUACAAGUUUCGUGUUGCUGCUGAACUUUUUGACGCGUUGCUGCUGUGUGUUCUUUCGUGCUACGGUGCUGCUGCGUGUGUGUGUGAUUCAUGCAUAGUUGUUGUUGGUGCUUGCAACCAUCAUCUCCUUCAUCUCUUUUAUGGGGGUAUAAGUAUAAGCUCUCUUCCUCCUCUUUUCAAUUCCAAGAAUUCAAAUCCCUCUUGAAAUGGGUUCUAUUUCAAUUUUAUGAUUUCACAAAUAAAUUGGGUUCUUAAUCUUGCUUUUGAUAUACAAAAAAAAAAUCAGUUUGUGGUAUAGUUAGUUAAACGUAAAGAUUGAAUAUUUCCUUUUAUUUAAUGGAUUGGAGCUUAUAGUAUGAAUUGAUCCUUCUGAAUUAAGUAAGAUUAUAAAAUUUGAUUUAUAUAAAUUAUGUUGUUUGAUUAUAUUCUCUAUACAUUAGAAUGGGAAAUUAGAAUUAUCAUGUGAGAUAGAAAAAUGUGAAUUGGAAAGUGAAAUAGUUUGUAUUUAAGAGUUAUAGUUAGUUCAUAAAAGAGUUUAGAAGGUAUGAGCAAGUAAUUUCAUUUAUCUGAAUCAUAGUAGAGAUGAAUGUUAAUUAUUGUUAUUAUUGUUGUGAGGUGAUUAUUGGAGAUUGAGUAUGAAUAAUGAGAUAUUGGACUCUCGAAGAUUUUUAUGGAGUCGAGUGCUAUUUAAAGAUGCGUAGAGAGUUCAUAGUUAGUGAUCUUGCAGGUUCGUGUGUGGAAAGCUCGGAAUGGAGUAAAAGGAAGAAUUUAGGUAUCAAGGUUAUAAUUAGAUGUAAUGGUUCAGAGGUUGUAUUUAGGGUUAUAUAACCUUAUUUGUGAAUAAAUUAUUAUAUUGCUUUAGAAGUCGAGCAAGGUAUUAUGUAAUAUGUUAUUUGGUUAUUGAGGAUGAUUUGUUGUGGGCCCUGGCCCACAGGUCCAGGAUCGUUCUAUAGGUUAUGUUUCCACUGCAAGUGAAUAUAAUUUGAGGUUAUUAAGCGUUAAUUGUAAUUAGCGUAUCUCAAGUGUGUUUAGCUAGCAGCUCGGAAGUGCGGGCUGUUACAGGAAAGGUCAUGAAGCACUGCACAUGCCUCUCUCUAUAAAGACAAAAAUUUGAAUCGAAACACUCUAAUACACUGUCGCUUACUCCUUCAAAGAAUUAGUACUUCCUUCCAAACACCAUCAACAACAAGUGUUAGGAGUAGGAUAUCAGCUCCAAAAGUCCAUCCUUAAUCAAAUUAGGAAGGAAAGCUGAUGGAAGAAGGUGAUGACUGAUGAGUAUGUAAUGCUUCUUUUUGGUGGUGAUGCUCUGCCAUAAAUGAGGUCAACUUGACUAUUAAUAAUUUUCAUGAUUGUUGAUGGAUGGAAAAUAAUCUCAUUACGACGAAGCCAACCAUGAAGACCAAAUCAUAAUUACAAAGCUAAUAACCCACACCAUAAGAAGGAGUGUGUACCUGUACAAGACUAGAUUGGACCAAUGGACCGAAAUAUGGAAUAUCUAUUGACUGGGACUGGACACAAAUAUUACGGUCCAUCACAGAUUUCAAUCUGGGUUCGAUGGUCUGAUUGGAGCCGAACAUGUAUUUUUUAAAAUUUUUUUUGUUUAGAUUUAAACAUAUUGAUGAAUUAGAUACAUUAAUAUUUAAUAGAUCUAAAGGCAAUAAAGAUUAAGUUUUUACC
Molecule: long non-coding RNA, 2576 nt
Organism: Beta vulgaris subsp. vulgaris (sugar beet)
Lineage: Eukaryota; Viridiplantae; Streptophyta; Magnoliopsida; Caryophyllales; Amaranthaceae
Exons: 2
Source: RefSeq, a predicted model, not a curated record